AUUGAACGCUGGCGGCGUGCUUAACACAUGCAAGUCGAACGCGAAAGGGACUUCGGUCCUGAGUAAAGUGGCGCACGGGUGAGUAACGCGUGGAUAAUCUGCCCUUAUGAUCGGGAUAACAGUUGGAAACGGCUGCUAAUACCGGAUACGCUCAAAAUGAACUUUUUGAGGAAAGAUGGCCUCUGCUUGCAUGCUAUCACGUAAGGAUGAGUCCGCGUCCCAUUAGCUUGUUGGCGGGUAACGGCCCACCAAGGCAACGAUGGGUAGCCGAUUUGAGAGGAUGAUCGGCCACACUGGAACUGAAACACGGUCCAGACUCCUACGGGAGGCAGCAGUGGGGAAUAUUGCGCAAUGGGCGAAAGCCUGACGCAGCGACGCCGCGUGAGGGAUGAAAGGUUUUCGGAUCGUAAACCUCUGUCAGAAGGGAAGAAACUACGUUGUGCUAAUCAGCAGCGUACUGACGGUACCUUCAAAGGAAGCACCGGCUAACUCCGUGCCAGCAGCAGC
RNAcentral lists this ribosomal RNA (507 nucleotides) under uncultured bacterium. Its description in RNAcentral is "bacterial SSU rRNA". It matches the Rfam family "Bacterial small subunit ribosomal RNA", at positions 30 to 518 of the family's 1533-position model. The record is from RNAcentral.